GGCGAACGGGUGAGUAACACGUGAGUAACCUGCCCUUGACUCUGGGAUAAGCCUGGGAAACUGGGUCUAAUACCGGAUACGACCAUCUGACGCAUGUCAUGGUGGUGGAAAGCUUUUGUGGUUUUGGAUGGACUCGCGGCCUAUCAGCUUGUUGGUGGGGUAAUGGCCUACCAAGGCGACGACGGGUAGCCGGCCUGAGAGGGUGACCGGCCACACUGGGACUGAGACACGGCCCAGACUCCUACGGGAGGCAGCAGUGGGGAAUAUUGCACAAUGGGCGAAAGCCUGAUGCAGCGACGCCGCGUGAGGGAUGACGGCCUUCGGGUUGUAAACCUCUUUCAGUAGGGAAGAAGCGAAAGUGACGGUACCUGCAGAAGAAGCGCCGGCUAACUACGUGCCAGCAGCCGCGGUAAUACGUAGGGCGCAAGCGUUAUCCGGAAUUAUUGGGCGUAAAGAGCUCGUAGGCGGUUUGUCGCGUCUGCUGUGAAAGACCGGGGCUCAACUCCGGUUCUGCAGUGGGUACGGGCAGACUAGAGUGCAGUAGGGGAGACUGGAAUUCCUGGUGUAGCGGUGAAAUGCGCAGAUAUCAGGAGGAACACCGAUGGCGAAGGCAGGUCUCUGGGCUGUAACUGACGCUGAGGAGCGAAAGCAUGGGGAGCGAACAGGAUUAGAUACCCUGGUAGUCCAUGCCGUAAACGUUGGGCACUAGGUGUGGGGGACAUUCCACGUUUUCCGCGCCGUAGCUAACGCAUUAAGUGCCCCGCCUGGGGAGUACGGCCGCAAGGCUAAAACUCAAAGGAAUUGACGGGGGCCCGCACAAGCGGCGGAGCAUGCGGAUUAAUUCGAUGCAACGCGAAGAACCUUACCAAGGCUUGACAUGAACCGGAAAGACCUGGAAACAGGUGCCCCGCUUGCGGUCGGUUUACAGGUGGUGCAUGGUUGUCGUCAGCUCGUGUCGUGAGAUGUUGGGUUAAGUCCCGCAACGAGCGCAACCCUCGUUCUAUGUUGCCAGCGCGUUAUGGCGGGGACUCAUAGGAGACUGCCGGGGUCAACUCGGAGGAAGGUGGGGACGACGUCAAAUCAUCAUGCCCCUUAUGUCUUGGGCUUCACGCAUGCUACAAUGGCCGGUACAAAGGGUUGCGAUACUGUGAGGUGGAGCUAAUCCCAAAAAGCCGGUCUCAGUUCGGAUUGGGGUCUGCAACUCGACCCCAUGAAGUCGGAGUCGCUAGUAAUCGCAGAUCAGCAACGCUG
RNAcentral lists this ribosomal RNA (1251 nucleotides) under Paenarthrobacter sp. Its description in RNAcentral is "bacterial SSU rRNA". It matches the Rfam family "Bacterial small subunit ribosomal RNA", at positions 97 to 1359 of the family's 1533-position model. The record is from RNAcentral. Lineage: Bacteria; Bacillati; Actinomycetota; Actinomycetes; Micrococcales; Micrococcaceae.